CCAACAUGGAAAACAAUAAAGCCAAUUUUAUUUGUUACUGUGUACCGCCCUCCUGGUCCGUACUCUGAAUUUCUAUCUGAAUUCUCAGAAUUUUUAUCAAAUUUAGUCCUUAAAACAGAUAAAGUAAUUAUUGUAGGUGACUUUAAUAUUCAUGUGGAUGUUGAUAGUGACAGCCUUAAUAAUGCAUUUAUCUCAAUAUUAGAUUCAAUUGGGUUCAGUCAGAAUGUACAUGAACCAACUCACUGUUUAAACCACACUCUGGACCUUGUUCUGGGAUAUGGUGUUGAAAUUGAAAGUUUAUCAGUGUGUCCACAUAAUCCUCUUUUAUCAGACCAUUUUUUAAUAACUUUUGAAGUCCUGUUACUGGACUACAAGCCAGUAGGCAAAAUAUCCUACGCUCGAUGUUUAUCUGAAAGUGCUGUGACUAAAUUUAAGGAAGUGAUUCCAUCAGCACUUGAUUCAAUACCAGGACUCAAUAUCAAUAUAACAGAGGACUCCAAUGCUAACUUUAGUCCCUCCCAAAUUAAUCAUCUUGUUGAUAGCGCUGCAGCCUCACUGCGAAUAACACUCGACUCUGUCGCUCCUCUUAAGAAGAAGAUCAUAAAACAGAAAAAGAAAGCUCCAUGGCUUAAUUUACAAAUCCGCAAACUAAAACAAAAGUCGAGAAAUCUUGAAAGUAAAUGGCGUUCCACUAAAUUGGAAGAAUCUCGUUUAGUCUGGUUAGAUCAUCUUAAAACGUAUAAGAAGGCUCUCCGUAAUGCCAGAGCAGCUUAUUACUCUUCCUUAAUAGAAGAAAAUAAGAACAACCCCAGGUUUCUUUUCAGCACUGUAGCCAGGCUGACAGAGAGCCACAGCUCUACAGAGCCUUCUGUUCCUAUAUCUCUCAGUAGUGACGACUUUAUGAGUUUCUUUAACGAUAAAAUUAUAAUUAUUAGAGACAAAAUUAAUCUCCUCCUGACCUCAAUUGGUAAUGACUUAACUUCAACUGUUGGAAUUUUAAAA
This 1002-nucleotide long non-coding RNA is filed under the name Cottoperca gobio. RNAcentral's name for it is "lncRNA (ENSCGOG00000021838.1)". The record is from RNAcentral. Lineage: Eukaryota; Metazoa; Chordata; Actinopteri; Perciformes; Bovichtidae.